RNAcentral lists this long non-coding RNA (233 nucleotides) under Elaeis guineensis (African oil palm). RNAcentral describes it as "long non-coding RNA (EGUI_LNC031123)". Lineage: Eukaryota; Viridiplantae; Streptophyta; Magnoliopsida; Arecales; Arecaceae. The record is from RNAcentral.
AACGAAGUCUAGAUUGCGAUCAACUCUUGAUCUCUUUCCUUAAUCUUCUUCUUCUCUUUUUCUCUUGCCUUUCUACCCUUUCUUAUGCUACUACCAAGCACCAGGAACCAGCACCAAAGUGGAUGCCCAACAGCCUUAGGUGUGGAAAAGAAGUGGGACGCCUAAGAACAAGGACGUGUGGAUGUCCAAGGGGAGAAGAGAAAGGGAGGAGAAGAAAGGGCAUGGGGGCUCUC